GAUGAACGCUGGCGGCGUGCCUAAUACAUGCAGGUCGAGCGAACGGACGAGAAGCUUGCUUCUCUGAUGUUAGCGGCGGACGGGUGAGUAACACGUGGAUAACCUACCUAUAAGACUGGGAUAACUUCGGGAAACCGGAGCUAAUACCGGAUAAUAUUUUGAACCGCAUGGUUCAAAAGUGAAAGACGGUCUUGCUGUCACUUAUAGAUGGAUCCGCGCUGCAUUAGCUAGUUGGUAAGGUAACGGCUUACCAAGGCAACGAUGCAUAGCCGACCUGAGAGGGUGAUCGGCCACACUGGAACUGAGACACGGUCCAGACUCCUACGGGAGGCAGCAGUAGGGAAUCUUCCGCAAUGGGCGAAAGCCUGACGGAGCAACGCCGCGUGAGUGAUGAAGGUCUUCGGAUCGUAAAACUCUGUUAUUAGGGAAGAACAUAUGUGUAAGUAACUGUGCACAUCUUGACGGUACCUAAUCAGAAAGCCACGGCUAACUACGU
Molecule: ribosomal RNA, 496 nt
Filed under: uncultured bacterium
Lineage: Bacteria
Description: partial 16S ribosomal RNA
Rfam family: Bacterial small subunit ribosomal RNA
Source: RNAcentral